UAGAAACAAUGCGCCUUGCAAAUAAAUAUUAGGAAAUAUAGAAUCUUUCUGGUAUACUCAUCAGGUAUUCUCAAAUAAGCUUACAGAGGGUAAAAGUACACAAACUAUAAUGCAAGGAAAACUUAUAUGGAAAACUAUGAAUGGGGAACAUUGGACAUUAUAACAAUAAUUUAAACCGCCGAGAAACUCAUUUGAUAUUUUCAAUGUCAAUUUACACAGGCCAAAAUUAAUUAGAAAUAAAAUAAAAUUAGUGAAGGAUUACUUAAUUAUGCACAGACACUGGCAAGUGUCAAAGAUUAGUAUUUUCACACCAUCAUGCAAGUAAUUUCACAUUUGCUUUGCUAAUUCCUUCCACUAUAUCUUAUCUAAGAUUCUUCAAACACCAGCACACUCAGAUUAUUUUGGUUUAAAUACUCAAAAUAGUAAAGACACAAUCACAAAAUUACCAUUUUAUAUUGCACAUGGAACUCGAGUUCUAAUUCUCAAGCGAAUCAAGGCAGAAGUUGCACAGACACUGGCAAGUGUCAAAGAUUAGUAUUUUCACACCAUCAUGCAAGUAAUUUCACAUUUGCUUUGCUAAUUCCUUCCACUAUAUCUUAUCUAAGAUUCUUCAAACACCAGCACACUCAGAUUAUUUUGGUUUAAAUACUCAAAAUAGUAAAGACACAAUCACAAAAUUACCAUUUUAUAUUGCACAUGGACCUCGAGUUCUAAUUCUCAAGCGAAUCAAGGCAGAAGUUCGGUUAUGUGUCCAAGCUUUAACUUUAGAUCAUCAUCAUAUGAAUCAAUGUCCACAUCUGUAUGAAACAUAACUUACAAAAAACCACAACCUUUAUGCUCCCUACCACCCUUGUAACUUUAGCAUGAAGACAUCAGCAUUCUGUUUAAAACUAAUAAACAUCAUCACAUUUUUAUUCAUUUUGGGUCCCGUAAAGAAUGGCAUAUCCUCAAAAUUCAAACAGAAUAGUGUCAGCAUUAAGAGGCUCAUGCUUUAAUAACAUGUUCGGUGGUUAGGAUUUGAUAGCACUCAGAGGAUUACUGACAAAAAUGAAGUUAAAAUCUUGUUCAUUAUACCAGUAUUGUAUACAAAACAUGCACUUCUGUGUAAAAGAGGUCAUCUAUCAAAUCUACUAAACAGGACUGGAUGCAUUUUGAGUUUAGCCUACUGUACCUGCAUCUUUAAUUUACUAAAGGCAAGUUGGACCAACAGUUAGUCAUAGCUCACUAUAAACAAAUGUAGUUAUGUAAACCAUGAAUAAUCAAUCUAUGGCUUAUAUGUUGUUACGUUUUGAUUGAGAAGUCCAGUAAAACAGUGAACAGCUGAAAAGCUAGUGGUAAAAUAUAAAUAGUACUUCAAGAGCAUGCAAGAGGCUGUAUCAUUUCUUUGUGUGACUGCUAAGAUUCUACACCAAGGAAACGAGUAAAGGAUGUGAAGCAAUAGCAGGCGUCUAGCAACAUCUCUUACAUUUCUUAUAUAUUAAUGCAACUACAGACGUCUACGUUGAGUUAAGUAUAUCUAUUCACUUGAAACCACAUUAAUUCGAAGUUCUAGAAUCUCCAUUUUAGUAAAAAUAACUAAUGAUACUUGACAUUUCAUCAAGUUGCGACCAAGGGAAAAAUAGUGACAACUGAUUCUCUGUCCUUGCAGGGAUAGAGCGACAGAAAUUUCGAAAAUUCAUGAGAAGGCCAGGGUGUUAAGACCCAUUUAUCAUUACGAUAAGAGUCAAGUCAAAAUAUGGUGAUGUAACCAGCAUCCAAAGCUUAGUUGAAUAGAGUGGUGGCAAAUAGCAGAAUGCCGUAACAGCUAAAAACGUAUUGAAAACUUUUUGUCACUUGCUAAAAAAGAAAAAGUAAGCCCGGGGAAUAACAUUUUCUUUCUCUCAUAUGACAUUAUUGCUGUUAUGCACGCUGCAAUUGCCAUUGGUUUCAAGUUUCAAAUAAAAAUGAAAAAACACACCUUUAUCAGAACAAAUGUGUAAAAAUAUUAAAAAGGAAGAUCAGAAGCCAAUGGCUUGGCACACAGAAUAAUAUCCUUGCUUAAAAGAUAACAUCCUCCCGAAGAAUUUACCCGAUGACUGCCAAAUUGAGCAUAGAAUUCACCAGUUCCUUGGAAUUACAGGAAAUUUUGGUAUCACUUAAAUAAUUAAUAGUUUGGAUUUAAUCAGUCUAUGAUAUGUGAAAUUGUAGCUCGAAAGGACUCAAGAAGUUCAUGUUUCAUUUCUACACCUGAUUAUAAUGAUUGAAAAUAGAAAUAAAUUAAAGAACUUAUUAAUCAAAACUACUCAGAGUUUGAAUUAGAUAACCCGAAAUUCUUGCCAAAUGAACGGACCAGUCUGUAUAUGGAACCAAUUAUCCCAAAACUCGGUUAAAAGCAAUCAAACUCAGCUUGGGAAUCCAGCCUCAAACUGUUUUUGCUUUAAUCGAAAAUUCCUUACAAAAUAGGUUCACGAUGCCCUCGGGUUAAAUGGACCCUCAUUGGACCUCCGUUCAUAGCAUUCAACAUAUUCGAUAGAUAUUCUCACCCACCAAAAUACAUCUACAAUGUGUGAAAUUCAAUCAUUCAGACACGUUUAAACGUUAAUCUGCCGAGUAACAAUGAGUUCCAUGCAACGCAACAAGGAUUAGUGUAAUUUGAGGAAAUUAAAGCAUUAUAAUUGCAAAUUGAAGAAGUUUUACGGAAGCAACCGAGAACUCACCAGGAAAUACUGGGAUCCAGACGUUGCAGCUUCAGGAUAAACAAACGAUUUCUUUUGAUGGAGCCGGCCUUUUAUUUAUUUUUCAGAAAAGCCCUGAAGGUAAAAAUCAAAACCGACGGUAUAGGUGUAAAUGAGUCGGGUCAGUUUCGGGUUGAACAAUCAAAUUGACCCGACCCGNN
Molecule: long non-coding RNA, 2875 nt
Filed under: Olea europaea (common olive)
Lineage: Eukaryota; Viridiplantae; Streptophyta; Magnoliopsida; Lamiales; Oleaceae
Description: long non-coding RNA (OEUR_LNC014315)
Source: RNAcentral